GUUGUUGGGUAGGGGAGCGUUCUGUAAGCCUGUGAAGGUGUACUGUGAGGUAUGCUGGAGGUAUCAGAAGUGCGAAUGCUGACAUAAGUAACGAUAAAGCGGGUGAAAAGCCCGCUCGCCGGAAGACCAAGGGUUCCUGUCCAACGUUAAUCGGGGCAGGGUGAGUCGACCCCUAAGGCGAGGCCGAAAGGCGUAGUCGAUGGGAAACAGGUUAAUAUUCCUGUACUUGGUGUUACUGCGAAGGGGGGACGGAGAAGGCUAUGUUGGCCGGGCGACGGUUGUCCCGGUUUAAGCGUGUAGGCUGGUUUUCCAGGCAAAUCCGGAAAAUCAAGGCUGAGGCGUGAUGACGAGGCACUACGGUGCUGAAGCAACAAAUGCCCUGCUUCCAGGAAAAGCCUCUAAGCAUCAGGUAACAUCAAAUCGUACCCCAAACCGACACAGGUGGUCAGGUAGAGAAUACCAAGGCGCUUGAGAGAACUCGGGUGAAGGAACUAGGCAAAAUGGUGCCGUAACUUCGGGAGAAGGCACGCUGAUAUGUAGGUGAAGUCCCUCGCGGAUGGAGCUGAAAUCAGUCGAAGAUACCAGCUGGCUGCAACUGUUUAUUAAAAACACAGCACUGUGCAAACACGAAAGUGGACGUAUACGGUGUGACGCCUGCCCGGUGCCGGAAGGUUAAUUGAUGGGGU
Molecule: ribosomal RNA, 686 nt
Filed under: Escherichia coli
Lineage: Bacteria; Pseudomonadati; Pseudomonadota; Gammaproteobacteria; Enterobacterales; Enterobacteriaceae
Description: partial 23S ribosomal RNA
Rfam family: Bacterial large subunit ribosomal RNA
Source: RNAcentral